RNAcentral lists this ribosomal RNA (280 nucleotides) under uncultured Eubacteriales bacterium. RNAcentral's name for it is "uncultured Clostridiales bacterium partial 16S ribosomal RNA". It matches the Rfam family "Bacterial small subunit ribosomal RNA", at positions 62 to 339 of the family's 1533-position model. Lineage: Bacteria; Bacillati; Bacillota; Clostridia; Eubacteriales. The record is from RNAcentral.
UCGAACGGAGCUUAAAGAGCUUGCUUUUUAAGCUUAGUGGCGGACGGGUGAGUAACGCGUGAGCAACCUGCCCAUAAGAGGGGGAUAACAGCUGGAAACGGCUGCUAAUACCGCAUAAGACCACAAAGUCACAUGGCAAAGGGGUCAAAGAUUUAUCGCUUAUGGAUGGGCUCGCGUCUGAUUAGCUAGUUGGUAGGGUAAAGGCCUACCAAGGCGACGAUCAGUAGCCGACCUGAGAGGGUGACCGGCCACAUUGGGACUGAGACACGGCCCAAACUCC